UGAACGCUGGCGGUAGGCCUAACACAUGCAAGUCGAACGGCAGCACAGUAAGAGCUUGCUCUUACGGGUGGCGAGUGGCGGACGGGUGAGGAAUACAUCGGAAUCUACUUUUUCGUGGGGGAUAACGUAGGGAAACUUACGCUAAUACCGAAUACGACCUACGGGUGAAAGCAGGGGAUCUUCGGACCUUGCGCGAUUGAAUGAGCCGAUGUCGGAUUAGCUAGUUGGCGGGGUAAAGGCCCACCAAGGCGACGAUCCGUAGCUGGUCUGAGAGGAUGAUCAGCCACACUGGAACUGAGACACGGUCCAGACUCCUACGGGAGGCAGCAGUGGGGAAUAUUGGACAAUGGGCGCAAGCCUGAUCCAGCCAUACCGCGUGGGUGAAGAAGGCCUUCGGGUUGUAAAGCCCUUUUGUUGGGAAAGAAAAGCAGCAGGUUAAUACCCCGCUGUUCUGACGGUACCCAAAGAAUAAGCACCGGCUAACUUCGUG
RNAcentral lists this ribosomal RNA (490 nucleotides) under uncultured bacterium. Its description in RNAcentral is "partial 16S ribosomal RNA". It matches the Rfam family "Bacterial small subunit ribosomal RNA", at positions 30 to 507 of the family's 1533-position model. The record is from RNAcentral.